AUUGAACGCUGGCGGCAGGCCUAACACAUGCAAGUCGAGCGGAUGAAGGGAGCUUGCUCCUGGAUUCAGCGGCGGACGGGUGAGUAAUGCCUAGGAAUCUGCCUGGUAGUGGGGGAUAACGUCCGGAAACGGGCGCUAAUACCGCAUACGUCCUGAGGGAGAAAGUGGGGGAUCUUCGGACCUCACGCUAUCAGAUGAGCCUAGGUCGGAUUAGCUAGUUGGUGGGAUAAAGGCCUACCAAGGCGACGAUCCGUAACUGGUCUGAGAGGAUGAUCAGUCACACUGGAGCUGAGACACGGUCCAGACUCCUACGGGAGGCAGCAGUGGGGAAUAUUGGACAAUGGGCGAAAGCCUGAUCCAGCCAUGCCGCGUGUGUGAAGAAGGUCUUCGGAUUGUAAAGCACUUUAAGUUGGGAGGAAGGGCAGUAAGUUAAUACCUUGCUGUUUUGACGUUACCAACAGAAUAAGCACCGGCUAACUUCGUG
Molecule: ribosomal RNA, 484 nt
Filed under: uncultured bacterium
Lineage: Bacteria
Description: partial 16S ribosomal RNA
Rfam family: Bacterial small subunit ribosomal RNA
Source: RNAcentral